UUUAACUGGAGAGUUUGAUCCUGGCUCAGAACGAACGCUGGCGGCGUGCCUAACACAUGCAAGUCGAACGAGAAAGGGGCUUCGGUCCUGAGUAAAGUGGCGCACGGGUGAGUAACACGUGGGUAACCUGCCUUUGAGAUUGGGAUAACAUGUCGAAAGGCGUGCUAAUACCGAAUGAGACCACGGUUUCUUAGGGGACAGGGGUCAAAGGGUAGCCUCUAUUUAUAAGCUAUCGCUCAGAGAUGGGCCUGCGCACCAUUAGCUAGUUGGUGGGGUAACGGCCUACCAAGGCAGAGAUGGUUAGCUGGUCUGAGAGGAUGAUCAGCCACACUGGAACUGAGACACGGUCCAGACUCCUACGGGAGGCAGCAGUGGGGAAUAUUGCGCAAUGGGCGAAAGCCUGACGCAGCAACGCCG
Molecule: ribosomal RNA, 417 nt
Filed under: Deltaproteobacteria bacterium
Lineage: Bacteria; Pseudomonadati; Myxococcota; Myxococcia
Description: bacterial SSU rRNA
Rfam family: Bacterial small subunit ribosomal RNA
Source: RNAcentral